RNAcentral lists this ribosomal RNA (301 nucleotides) under uncultured bacterium. RNAcentral's name for it is "partial 16S ribosomal RNA". It matches the Rfam family "Bacterial small subunit ribosomal RNA", at positions 509 to 809 of the family's 1533-position model. The record is from RNAcentral.
CAGUCGCCGCGGGAAUACGUAGGGUGCAAGCGUUAAUCGGAAUUACUGGGCGUAAAGCGUGCGCAGGCGGUUUUGUAAGACAGAGGUGAAAUCCCCGGGCUCAACCUGGGAACUGCCUUUGUGACUGCAAGGCUUGAGUGCGGCAGAGGGGGAUGGAAUUCCGCGUGUAGCAGUGAAAUGCGUUGAGAUCGGAAGGAACACCAACGGUGAAAGCACUCUGCUGGGCCGACACUGACACUGAGAGACGAAAGCUAGGGGAGCAAAUGGGAUUAGAUACCCGAGUAGUCCCUGUCUCUUAUAA